Molecule: transfer RNA, 62 nt
Filed under: Sclerolinum brattstromi
Lineage: Eukaryota; Metazoa; Annelida; Polychaeta; Sabellida; Siboglinidae
Description: tRNA-Cys
Source: RNAcentral
AACCUUAUAGUUGAAAUACAACAUUAAAUUGCAGCUUUAAAAGUGUACCCUUACUAAGGUUU